Rhipicephalus sanguineus (brown dog tick) is the source of this 1080-nucleotide long non-coding RNA. RefSeq lists it as uncharacterized. NCBI's taxonomy places the organism in Eukaryota, Metazoa, Arthropoda, Arachnida, Ixodida, Ixodidae. The record is from RefSeq and is a predicted model, not a curated record. The transcript is spliced from 2 exons.
GGCGGGGGCUUUGCAGGCAAAAAAAGAGAUCCAGCGAAUUGACAAUAAUCGUUAUCUAUAAUCAAUAGCUAUAAUUAUCAAUAUAUAUGUUAUCGAUAGAUAACAAUAAUCAUCUAUAAUCAACAAAACAAACGAAUUGUCAAUAUAUGUUAUAAUUGACUAUAAUUGUAAUACAUUAACUGGCUAAGUGUGAAGAUGGGGGACAAUGCCAACUGGCAGCGACCUUUCUUUCAGGGGCUCUAACCCCUUUGAGCCCAUAACUACCAUCAGCCUUCAGAUAGUAAGUGAAAAGGGGAGCAGUGGAGUGUUCCGAUUUCAUGCCGGGGGGCUGCAUAAUACUGCCCUGCCGGCCGCAGGUUGCCGACCCCUGCUCUAAUGCAUUGUCAUGCCCACAUUUGGGGUGAUUAAGUAGCAUAAAGGCACAUCGUCACAUUGUAUAAAAAUUGGAGAUUGGAGUCAAGUGUACUAUUGUUUCCUGCUAAUGCGGUUGAAUCUAUCCUAACCAGUUGUCUCAUUUUAUCAGGCUUCCAUUGGACUUCAGUUAAGCAGUAUGCAAGGGAACUAUUACAAAUAAGAUGACAUGAUCUUUUUAUAUUUCUUGUGUCUCACCACAUUCACCAUGUAUCAGCUUAGCCCUUUGCAGAAGGAAAUGCCUAAAUUCAUCUUUUUGGACAAGGAAAAAAAAAGGGAAGAAGCCUCUCGAAUGCUGGGAAAGCCUUCUAUUUUGUUAAGGCUAGUUCUGGGUGCCUAGGGUCAUAUGACUUAACGCAAAAUUGUAUGUGGAGGUAUACGUAAGUGCAUUGCAGAAAGCUGCAGAAACCAUUCAAAGUAAUUUGUUAAAGCCUUAGAGUGUGCUAAAGUCUUGUCAUGGCUGUUGCAUUUAAUGGGCAAAGAAGUAAGCCUAUCUGUAGUUGUCACCACUGCAAAAGUUAUGGGUGGUAGACAGCACAAAAGCAUGGAGGAAAUAGAAGUGUUCACACGAUAAUCAGCAUCGCAUAAAUUUACAGAAAGACCAAUUCUUUCUGUUCAAUUCUCCAUUACUGCUUAUGUAGAUUUUGGUACAGUGGGGAUAGAACAAAA